Long non-coding RNA from Medicago truncatula (barrel medic), 1353 nucleotides. RefSeq lists it as uncharacterized. The transcript has 3 exons. The record is from RefSeq and is a predicted model, not a curated record. NCBI's taxonomy places the organism in Eukaryota, Viridiplantae, Streptophyta, Magnoliopsida, Fabales, Fabaceae.
GUUAAUUUUUUAGGAGAGUAUGAAAUACACUAUAAAAAGAUCCAAUCGUAUUCAAUUUUUCACAUGAAACGACGGAAACUAUGACUGAAACUCUCAAGUUUUUUUAUGCUAUGAUUCUUUUUCUUUCCUUGUUUCUUAUCACAACAAAUGUUGGUGGUUCGUAUUAUGGAUGUGAAACGGAUGCCGAUUGUCCACGGUCUAUGAACAAGGAUUUUUAUCUGAAGUGCGUUGAUAAAAAAUGUGAAUGGACUGCAAAGAUCUAAGUACAAGAUCCGAAAGAAUGCAAAAACUUUUGGUAUAGGAGAUUGACUCAUUCUGUUAGCAAAACAAAUUUGCAUUAUAUGUUAUGCUCGAAUAUUACAAGAGUUGUCAUUUAUUUAUUCUACUAGAACAAUGAUUAUAUUUAUCUUUUCCUAAAUUCAUAAACCUUGCAUUUAUGAUUCUGUACUCUAAUCUUGUUAUAAGACAUCAAAGAGUUCUAUUUGACACUCAAGUUCUCCAUGUAAGCCCAAAACUAUCGACUUUGUAGUAGAUCACCCUUUAUUAUUUUUUAUAAGAGCAGAAUUUAGUGGAACGAUACUCUUUAGUGAACAUGUGCUCAAUCCUUUUGAUGGGUGAUAGGAUUAUCUCGUCUUUACCUGCGAAAAGUUGACAGCAGUUCAUCUUCCUCAACUUUUAGUUACGUGAUCGAUUAUAUUUGUUGCAAGCAAAAUCGUGGCACAAUUCGGCAAAUCCUGGCAUGAUUUUGAAUCAACAACUUGGAGGUUUGUCACCGCAAAAAUCGUGGCACGAGAGGAUAAAAUCGUGGCACAAUUUUGGAUAAUGUUUAGUAUUGUAUUGUGUACUAACAUGAAAUCACAACACGAUUGGUGCAACUGAUCAUGGCACGAUUUGACAUGAUCUAAAACACUAUUUAAGUACUCCUUGAUCGAUUUGUUGAGUACGCUUGGUGAAUCUCAUGGAAACCAAAUGAGGGAACUUUUAGGGUAUUUAGAUAUUCUAGGUUGAGGGUCUUUAGGUGAGGUUCAAAGCUUCAUGAUGUUAUCUUAGAGAACCAAAAGAGGAGGCUCUUGGGAAAGGGUUUGUGCCUUUUGGGGAGAGAUUCAUGGGGUUAGAAAACACAUGAGUGGAGAGUAUUGUGAAAAAACUUGGUUGAGUGAAAUCAUUUAGUCUCUUAUUCAUGAGAAGAGAUUGAAAAAUGGGUAGAAUUAGGUUUGUUCUUUGUGAGCUUGUUGAAACUAAUUUAUUGUAAUCCUUUUGUAUCUAUUUGUAAAGAACUCGUUGAUAAUGAAGCAGAGAGAUCUCUCUCCCGCACAAUAGGUCAUUGUUGGACCGAACAGGGUUAACAUUUUU